This 305-nucleotide ribosomal RNA is filed under the name uncultured bacterium. RNAcentral's name for it is "bacterial SSU rRNA". It matches the Rfam family "Bacterial small subunit ribosomal RNA", at positions 333 to 654 of the family's 1533-position model. The record is from RNAcentral.
GUAGUCCUACGGAGGCAGCAGUGGGGAAUAUUGGGCAAUGGGCGCAAGCCUGACCCAGCAAAGCCGCGUGAAGGAAGAAGGCUUUCGGGUUGUAAACUUCUUUUAAGAGGGAAGAGCAGAAGACGGUACCUCUUGAAUAAGCCACGGCUAACUACGUGCCAGCAGCCGCGGUAAUACGUAGGUGGCAAGCGUUGUCCGGAUUUACUGGGUGUAAAGGGCGUGUAGCCGGGCUGACAAGUCAGAUGUGAAAUCCCGUGGCUCAACCACGGAACUGCAUUUGAAACUGUCGGUCUUGAGUAUCGGAG